RNAcentral lists this long non-coding RNA (980 nucleotides) under Helianthus annuus (common sunflower). RNAcentral's name for it is "hypothetical non coding rna". The record is from RNAcentral. Lineage: Eukaryota; Viridiplantae; Streptophyta; Magnoliopsida; Asterales; Asteraceae.
AUGUUUACAAGCGCUGGAUGUUUACUGUCAUUUACACAGAAAAAUGAUUUUUUUUUGUUUUUUUUUUAUUUCGGAACUGGGGCGAAAAAGUAAUUUUGGUUGAGGGUAAAAGUGUAAUUUUUUUUACCGAGGGCGAACUCGUAUUUUUCGGUUUAACUGGGUGUAAAGUCAUAUUUUUAUUUUGAACUGUUGGAAAAUCGUAAUUUUGAGGUUAGGGGAAAACCAUUAUUUUAUUUUUAGCUAGAGGCAAAAAAGUAAAUUUAAACCGAGGGUGAAAUCGUAAUUUUAUCGUAAUUUUGAGCUGGGGGUAAAAGCAUAAUUUUAUUUUUGACCUAGUGAGCGAAGACAUAAUUUAAAACCGGGGGCAAACCGUAAUUUUAAUGCGGGUAUAAAAUAAAAAGCUGGUAAAAUCGUAAUUUUUUAAUCGAUGGCAGAUUCAUAAUUUUGAGCUGCUAGCAAAAGGGUUAUUAUAUUUUUUAGUUGGGAGAAAAGCGUAAUUUUAAACUGGGGGCAAAACCGUAAUUUUAAAGUGGGUAUAAAAUAAUAAAAUGGUUGGUCUAAUAGAAGAGGGGCGGCCGCCCAUUUUAACCAAUGGCAGAAAGCACUAUUCCCUGCCAUGAUAAAUGUAUAUGUUGAAAAUACCUUUAUAAUGUUUAAGAGACGAGAACGGUAGUGGUACCGUGUCAAACAUUAUUACGAUAUUCUAUAUGUUUGAUUGAUAUCGGUAUGGUAUGGUACGGUUAAAACUUUUGAACCAGUACCGUACCGCAUGACACGACACUGAUACUGAAAUUUAGCUAAAUUUAAAACCGAAAGUUUUAUAUGUUUCGAGUCUCCCCCUUUAUUUUUUCUUUAAAACUUUUGGCUUUCCUGUAUAAAAGUUCAAGAUCCGUCACUGUUUGCAGAGCCGUCCCCGAGAACUCUUAAAGUAUUUAGGCUUCGAGCGACAAAAAAAAUUGGGCCUAAAAUUGUGGUUAAGG